GAAGACGAUCAGAUACCGUCGUAGUCCCGACCGUAAACGAUGCCGACCGAGGGCCCGGAGGAGUUACGUACGACCCUCCGGGCCCUCCCGCGAGAAAUCAGGAGUAUUCGGGUUCCGGGGGGAGUAUGGUCGCAAGGCCGAAACUUAAAGGAAUUGACGGAAGGGCACCACCAGGAGUGGAAUCUGCGGCUUAAUUUGACCCAACGCGGGAAAACUCACCAGGUCAGGACACGGUAAGGAUUGACGGACUGAAGGCUCUUUCUCGAUUCCGUGGAAAGUGGUGCAUGGCCGUUUUUGGUUGGUGGAUCGAUCCGUCUGGUUAAUUCCGUUAACGAACGAGACCUCGGCACUCCGAAUAGCGCGGCGGACGUCGCGGCCUCCGGGCCGUCUUCCGCACGAGCUUCUUAGAGGGACCGUCCCCCGCCGGGGAAGGAGGUGC
This 439-nucleotide ribosomal RNA is filed under the name uncultured eukaryote. RNAcentral describes it as "bacterial SSU rRNA". It matches the Rfam family "Eukaryotic small subunit ribosomal RNA", at positions 1000 to 1446 of the family's 1831-position model. The record is from RNAcentral.